GACGAACGCUGGCGGCGUGCCUAAUACAUGCAAGUCGAACGAGAGCGACCGGUGCUUGCACUGGUCACUCUAGUGGCGAACGGGUGAGUAACACGUGGGUAACCUGCCCAUCAGAGGGGGAUAACAUCCGGAAACGGAUGCUAAAACCGCAUAGGUCUUCGAGCCGCAUGGCUUGAAGAGGAAAAGAGGCGCAAGCUUCUGCUGAUGGAUGGACCCGCGGUGCAUUAGCUAGUUGGUGAGGUAACGGCUCACCAAGGCCGUGAUGCAUAGCCGACCUGAGAGGGUGAUCGGCCACAUUGGGACUGAGACACGGCCCAAACUCCUACGGGAGGCAGCAGUAGGGAAUCUUCCGCAAUGGACGAAAGUCUGACGGAGCAACGCCGCGUGAGUGAAGAAGGUUUUCGGAUCGUAAAACUCUGUUGUUAGAGAAGAACAAGUGCUAGAGUAACUGUUAGCGCCUUGACGGUAUCUAACCAGAAAGCCACGGCUAACUACGUG
Molecule: ribosomal RNA, 498 nt
Filed under: uncultured bacterium
Lineage: Bacteria
Description: partial 16S ribosomal RNA
Rfam family: Bacterial small subunit ribosomal RNA
Source: RNAcentral